AUGUCGCUGGUUCUCAGCCACAAUUUGAGUAGCAAGAGCCCUGGACAACUUUCAGGAAGACAGUUCUGGUCUGUAGCAAUUAACACAUGGUCAUCCUCAGAAAAAGGUCCUCUCAAUUAUUUCCCAGAGAUACCCAUAACUUAAAAUGCAGGAACCAAGAGAUUUGAGCCUAGACAUUUGGAUGAAAAGCGAUUUCCACCUGGAGAAAGUCACUGCCCUUCUGUGCAGAGUACCAUUGUGUCUUGAAUCCAGCUUGGCCAUAAGGAAAUGGGGCGAGACUUUGUCAUGUAUGUCGCUGAAGUUCAGCUAUGCAAAAAUGUUCACCUAUCCUUGAUCAACCAGUCCAGGAACCAUCAAAGAAGAAAAUGAGAUUCGACUUAGAAGACCUGUUCUUUAUAAACCCCUGCACAGCCCUAAUGAUCAACACCACUUCCAGUGCUCAUAAAUUACUGCUUCAAUAAUUGUUCUGC
Molecule: long non-coding RNA, 470 nt
Filed under: Homo sapiens (human)
Lineage: Eukaryota; Metazoa; Chordata; Mammalia; Primates; Hominidae
Description: long intergenic non-protein coding RNA 1303
Source: RNAcentral